Molecule: transfer RNA, 73 nt
Filed under: Canis lupus familiaris (dog)
Lineage: Eukaryota; Metazoa; Chordata; Mammalia; Carnivora; Canidae
Also listed under: 1 other name
Rfam family: tRNA
About the family: Transfer RNA (tRNA) molecules are approximately 80 nucleotides in length.
Source: Rfam by way of RNAcentral
ACCUGACUGGCUCAGUCAAUGGAGCAUGUGACUCUUGAUCUUGGGGUUGUGGGUUAGAGUCCCACAUUGGGUA